CCUACGGGUGGCAGCAGUGGGGGAUAUUGCACAAUGGGGGGAACCCUGAUGCAGCGACGCCGCGUGGGUGAAGGAGUGCUUCGGCAUGUAAAGCCCUAUCGGCAGGGAAGAAGCACGACGGUACCUGACUAAGACGCCCCGGCUAACUACGUGCCAGCAGCCGCGGUAAUACGUAGGGGGCAAGCGUUAUCCGGAUUUACUGGGUGUAAAGGGAGCGUAGACGGUGCAGCAAGUCUGAUGUGAAAGGUCGGGGCCCAACCCCGGGACUGCAUUGGAAACUGUUGAACUGGAGUACAGGAGAGGUAAGCGGAAUUCCUAGUGUAGCGGUGAAAUGCGUAGAUAUUAGGAGGAACACCAGUGGCGAAGGCGGCUUACUGGACUGUAACUGACGUUGAGGCUCGAAAGCGUGGGGAGCAAACAGGAUUAGAUACCCCUGUAGUC
Molecule: ribosomal RNA, 441 nt
Filed under: uncultured bacterium
Lineage: Bacteria
Description: partial 16S ribosomal RNA
Rfam family: Bacterial small subunit ribosomal RNA
Source: RNAcentral